GAUGAACGCUGGCUACAGGCUUAACACAUGCAAGUCGUGGGGAAACGGCAUUAUGUGCUUGCACAUUCUGGACGUCGACCGGCGCACGGGUGAGUAUCGCGUAUCCAACCUGCCCCUUACUUGGGGAUACCCCGUUGAAAGACGGCCUAAUACCCGAUGUGUUUCAUUGACGGCAUCCGAUAUGAAACAAAGGUUUUCCGGUAAGGGAUGGGGAUGCGUCUGAUUAGCUUGUUGGCGGGGCAACGGCCCACCAAGGCGACGAUCAGUAGGGGUUCUGAGAGGAAGGUCCCCCACAUUGGAACUGAGACACGGUCCAAACUCCUACGGGAGGCAGCAGUGAGGAAUAUUGGUCAAUGGACGCAAGUCUGAACCAGCCAAGUAGCGUGCAGGAUGACGGCCCUAUGGGUUGUAAACUGCUUUUAUGUGGGAAUAAAGUGGCGCACGUGUGCGCCAUUGCAUGUACCUCAUGAAUAAGGACCGGCUAAUUCCGUGCCAGCAGCCGCGGUAAUACGGAAGGUCCGGGCGUUAUCCGGAUUUAUUGGGUUUAAAGGGAGUGUAGGCGGUCUGUUAAGCGUGUUGUGAAAUUUAGGUGCUCAACAUUUAACUUGCAGCGCGAACUGUCAGACUUGAGUACACGCAGCGCAGGCGGAAUUCAUGGUGUAGCGGUGAAAUGCUUAGAUAUCAUGAGGAACUCCGAUCGCGAAGGCAACCUGCGGGAGUGUUACUGACGCUUAAGCUCGAAGGUGCGGGUAUCGAACAGG
RNAcentral lists this ribosomal RNA (761 nucleotides) under Prevotella nigrescens. RNAcentral's name for it is "bacterial SSU rRNA". It matches the Rfam family "Bacterial small subunit ribosomal RNA", at positions 28 to 776 of the family's 1533-position model. The record is from RNAcentral. Lineage: Bacteria; Pseudomonadati; Bacteroidota; Bacteroidia; Bacteroidales; Prevotellaceae.